RNAcentral lists this ribosomal RNA (253 nucleotides) under uncultured bacterium. Its description in RNAcentral is "partial 16S ribosomal RNA". It matches the Rfam family "Bacterial small subunit ribosomal RNA", at positions 524 to 776 of the family's 1533-position model. The record is from RNAcentral.
UACAGGGGGUGCAAGCGUUGCUCGGAAUUAUUGGGCGUAAAGCGCGCGUAGGCGGCUACCUAAGUCGGAUGUGAAAGCCCCUGGCUCAACUGGGGAAGUGCACCCGAAACUGAGUAGCUAGAGUGCAAAAGAGGGUCGCGGAAUUCCCGGUGUAGAGGUGAAAUUCGUAGAUAUCGGGAGGAACACCGGUGGCGAAGGCGGCGACCUGGGUUGACACUGACGCUGAGGCGCGAAAGCGUGGGGAGCGAACAGG